RNAcentral lists this long non-coding RNA (406 nucleotides) under Camarhynchus parvulus. Its description in RNAcentral is "lncRNA (ENSCPVG00000001892.2)". The record is from RNAcentral. Lineage: Eukaryota; Metazoa; Chordata; Aves; Passeriformes; Thraupidae.
CUCUAGUAAAAGUGGAGACCUUAAUUUUUUCUAUAAUAAUGGCUGGAUUCUCUUUUUAAGUAGUUUGCCACUCACUCAGCUGAUACAGAAUUGUUCUGAGGAGACACUUACUAUUUUUAUUGAUAUAGGGAAGAAGUUCUGACUAAGAAGCAAACCAAGAAUUUGGAAUAUAAGCAGGAAAUGAGACACCUGAGGUCAUGGGGCGAAAUUACUGGAUGAAAGAGGAACCAAUAAUGCCAGCACUGAACUGGAAGCCCUUUAUCUAUGGAGGUUUAGCAUCAAUCACUGCAGAAUGUGGUAAGAGUUUGCUUUAAUUGUUGACAUGAUUUUCUUUACUUGGACAGUCUCUAUGUAAAACAAAUAGGGUUCCAUGCUGCCGGUGACACAGUGGUAUAUGGUGGCCUGC